Molecule: ribosomal RNA, 609 nt
Filed under: uncultured Actinomycetes bacterium
Lineage: Bacteria; Bacillati; Actinomycetota; Actinomycetes
Description: bacterial SSU rRNA
Rfam family: Bacterial small subunit ribosomal RNA
Source: RNAcentral
CGCAGCUAACGCAUUAAGCGUCCCGCCUGGGGAGUACGACCGCAAGGUUAAAACUCAAAGGAAUUGAACGGGGGCCCGCACAAGCAGCGGGGCAUGCGGCUUAAUUCGAUGCAACGCGAAGAACCUUACCUAGGCUUGACAUGCAUUGAAAACUGUUAGAGAUAACAGGUCCGCAAGGGCUUUGCACAGGUGGUGCAUGGCUGUCGUCAGCUCGUGUCGUGAGAUGUUGGGUUAAGUCCCGCAACGAGCGCAACCCUCGUCUUGUGUUGCCAACAGGUAAUGCUGGGAACUCACAAGAGACUGCCGGGGUCAACUCGGAGGAAGGUGGGGACGACGUCAAGUCAUCAUGCCCCUUAUGUCUAGGGCUGCACGCAUGCUACAAUGGCCGAUACAAAGGGCUGCGAUACCGCGAGGUGGAGCGAAUCCCAUAAAGUCGGUCUCAGUUCGGAUUGAGGUCUGCAACUCGACCUCAUGAAGUUGGAGUUGCUAGUAAUCGCGGAUCAGCAACGCCGCGGUGAAUACGUUCCCGGGCCUUGUACACACCGCCCGUCACGUCACGAAAGUCGGUAACACACCAAAACCAGUGGUCCAACCGUAAGGGGGAAGCUG